RNAcentral lists this long non-coding RNA (367 nucleotides) under Gossypium barbadense (sea-island cotton). RNAcentral describes it as "long non-coding RNA (GBAR_LNC009136)". Lineage: Eukaryota; Viridiplantae; Streptophyta; Magnoliopsida; Malvales; Malvaceae. The record is from RNAcentral.
UCAGAUGCAAGGUGCUCUAUUAUCAUUGCAGCUUUCCGGCAAACUUCUGGAACUGGAUGCGGAGUCUUUAUCACUUUCAGUAUACGAUCAACAGCCCUAAAUUGGGUGAACAUAUGUACACAAAUAAGAUAGCCCUUUCAGCUGUAAACUUUAAUAAAUAACAGGACUAUGCAUUAUCAUCACCAUGCUAUCAUCCAUACUUCCAAAAAGAAAUAAUAACAAUAAUAAUAACUUACCAUCUGUCACUAGCAAGCUUCAACCUGCAGUCCAUAUUGACAUCGACAAGGUUAUAGAGUGCACCAAUGGCAGCAGCUUGGGCAUCAAAUGCCUGCAAGCUCAAAAUAUCUACUAAACGCUUGUAAAUCUG